AUGCAWSUCGAWCGWAGAAGUCCUUCGGGAUGGAUUAGWGGCGCACGGGUGAGUAAUAUAUAGUUAAUGUACCUUCAAGACUGGGAUAGCCACUGGAAACGGUGAUUAAUACUAGAUAUACCUCUCUAACAUAAGUUAGAGUGGGAAAUGUUUUUUCGCUUGAAGAUCARACUAUAUCCCAUCAGUUUGUUGGUGAGGUAAUGGCUCACCAAGGCAAUGACGGGUAGCGGGUUUGARAGGAUGAUCCGCCACACUGGUACUGAGACACGGACCAGACUCCUACGGGAGGCAGCAGUGAGGAAUAUUGCAYACUGGGGGAAACCCUGAUGCAGCAACGCCGCGUGGAGGAUGACGCAUUUCGGUGUGWAAACUCCUUUUAUGAGUCAAGAAAAUGACGGUAGCUCAUGAAUAAGCACCGGCUAACUCYGUGCCAGCAGCCGCGGUAAUACGGAGGGUGCAAGCGUUACUCGGAAUCACUGGGCGUAAAGGACGCGUAGGCGGGUUGGUAAGUCAGAUGUGAAAUCYUACAGCUCAACUGUAGAACUGCAUUUGAAACUACCGACCUAGAGUAUGGGAGGGGGAGAUGGAWUUAGUGGUGUAGGGGUAAAAUCCGUAGAUAUCACUAGGAAUACCAAAGCGAAGGCGAUCUCCKGGAACAUUACUGACGYUAAGGSGUGGAAAGCGUGGGGAGMAAACAGGAUUAGWKMCCCUGGUAGUCCACSCUCUAAAMGAUGAACACUAUUCGUCGGAAASYUUGUCUUUUCCGGWGWUKCMCUAACAGAUUAARGUUCC
RNAcentral lists this ribosomal RNA (792 nucleotides) under uncultured bacterium. Its description in RNAcentral is "partial 16S ribosomal RNA". It matches the Rfam family "Bacterial small subunit ribosomal RNA", at positions 55 to 870 of the family's 1533-position model. The record is from RNAcentral.